ACGAACGCUGGCGGCGUGCUUAACACAUGCCAGUCGAACGGAAAGGCCUUGCUUUUGUGGGGUGCUCGAGUGGCGAACGGGUGAGUAACACGUGAGUAACCUGCCCUUGACUUUGGGAUAACUUCAGGAAACUGGGGCUAAUACCGGAUAGGAGCUCCUGCUGCAUGGUGGGGGUUGGAAAGUUUCGGCGGUUGGGGAUGGACUCGCGGCUUAUCAGCUUGUUGGUGGGGUAGUGGCUUACCAAGGCUUUGACGGGUAGCCGGCCUGAGAGGGUGACCGGCCACAUUGGGACUGAGAUACGGCCCAGACUCCUACGGGAGGCAGCAGUGGGGAAUAUUGCACAAUGGGCGGAAGCCUGAUGCAGCAACGCCGCGUGCGGGAUGACGGCCUUCGGGUUGUAAACCGCUUUCGCCUGUGACGAAGCGUGAGUGACGGUAAUGGGUAAAGAAGCACCGGCUAACUACGUG
RNAcentral lists this ribosomal RNA (467 nucleotides) under uncultured bacterium. Its description in RNAcentral is "partial 16S ribosomal RNA". It matches the Rfam family "Bacterial small subunit ribosomal RNA", at positions 29 to 507 of the family's 1533-position model. The record is from RNAcentral.